UCAAGAUGAUGUCCCAUAGUGCAUAUUAUUUGUAGAUGAUGUCUUAGUGCAUGAAACUAGUGAAGUAAUUAAUUAAAAGUUGGAGUUGUGGAGAAGAACUCUUGAGAGCAAAGAUUUUAGGCUACGUAGAAGUAAGAUGGAAUAUAUGCAUGACAAGUUUAUCUCUUGUAGAAGUAAUGGAGGGAGAUUCGAUUGGAUGAAAUUUUAGUGCCAAAAUACAACCAAUUUAAG
RNAcentral lists this unclassified non-coding RNA (231 nucleotides) under Hevea brasiliensis (rubber tree). Lineage: Eukaryota; Viridiplantae; Streptophyta; Magnoliopsida; Malpighiales; Euphorbiaceae. The record is from RNAcentral.